AUACUUAACCUGGCUAGGGGAGCACCAUAAUCAGGAAAGUAGUUUUCCCUGGGAGAUGCUCAGCCAUUGGGAGCUGCCUGUGUUGACUACUGCAGUUUUUCUAUGUUCUAUAAACUCAGCUGUAGAAUUUGUGGUAGUGGGGACUACAUUGAUGCUCUCCUUG
Gracilinanus agilis (Agile Gracile Mouse Opossum) is the source of this 163-nucleotide small nuclear RNA. RefSeq annotates it as U1 spliceosomal RNA. The transcript has a single exon. Lineage: Eukaryota; Metazoa; Chordata; Mammalia; Didelphimorphia; Didelphidae. The record is from RefSeq and is a predicted model, not a curated record.